GAUGAAGAACGCAGCGAAAUGCGAUAAGUAAUGCGAAUUGCAGAAUUCCGUGAGUCAUCGAAUCUUUGAACGCACAUUGCGCCCGCCAGUAUUCUGGCGAGCAUGCCUGUUCGAGCGUCAUUUCAACCAUCAAGCCCCAGGCUUGUGUUGGAGCCCUGCGGCUGCCGCAGCCUCCCAAAACCAGUGGCGGGCUCGCUAUCACACCGAGUGCAGUAGUUUACUCUUCGCUCAGGGCGUGUGGCGGGUGCUAGCCGUGAAACCCCCAACUUCUCAAGGUUGACCUCGGAUCAGGUAGGAAUACCCGCUGAACUUAAGCAUAUCAAUAAGCGGAGGA
This 334-nucleotide unclassified non-coding RNA is filed under the name soil metagenome. RNAcentral's name for it is "partial contains 5.8S ribosomal RNA, internal transcribed spacer 2, and large subunit ribosomal RNA". The stretch from base 1 to 120 matches the Rfam family "5.8S ribosomal RNA", at positions 35 to 154 of the family's 154-position model. The record is from RNAcentral.